RNAcentral lists this long non-coding RNA (202 nucleotides) under Mytilus galloprovincialis (Mediterranean mussel). The record is from RNAcentral. Lineage: Eukaryota; Metazoa; Mollusca; Bivalvia; Mytilida; Mytilidae.
CAGUGAGGGUCUAGAUUAGUGGCAACGAGGAGGGGGGUCUCUGUUCUGUAAUUCUUUUAGCCAUUCUUAUCUUUUCAGCAUUAAAAAAUAUGCUAAUACUUUAAGUUAUGUGCCCCUUUAGAAUUUGCACUACACAAAUGAAACCAUUUAUCAAUUUUUUUAAAUGUCUGAUUGAAACGAAACACAGAAAAAUAUAAAUAUU